Molecule: ribosomal RNA, 569 nt
Filed under: Filobasidium uniguttulatum
Lineage: Eukaryota; Fungi; Basidiomycota; Tremellomycetes; Filobasidiales; Filobasidiaceae
Description: eukaryotic LSU rRNA
Rfam family: Eukaryotic large subunit ribosomal RNA
Source: RNAcentral
GGGAAGAGCUCAAAUUUGAAAUCUGGUGGCCUCAGGUCAUCCGAGUUGUAAUCUAUAGAAGUGUUUUCCGUGCUGGCCCAUGUACAAGUCCCUUGGAACAGGGCGUCAUAGAGGGUGAGAAUCCCGUCCUUGACAUGGACUACCAGUGCUCUGUGAUACACUUUCAACGAGUCGAGUUGUUUGGGAAUGCAGCUCAAAAUGGGUGGUAAAUUCCAUCUAAAGCUAAAUAUUGGCGAGAGACCGAUAGCGAACAAGUACCGUGAGGGAAAGAUGAAAAGCACUUUGGAAAGAGAGUUAAACAGUAUGUGAAAUUGUUGAAAGGGAAACGAUUGAAGUCAGUCGUGCUCAAUGGACUCAGCCGUUCUGCGGUGUAUUUCCAUUGGGUGGGGUCAACAUCAGUUUUGAUCGCUGGAUAAAGGCAGGAGGAAUGUAGCACCCCCGGGUGAACUUAUAGCCUCUUGUCACAUACAGUGGUUGGGACUGAGGAACGCAGCAUGCCUUUAUGGCCGGGAUUCGUCCACGUACAUGCUUAGGAUGUUGACAUAAUGGCUUUAAACGACCCGUCUUGA